Molecule: long non-coding RNA, 1257 nt
Organism: Harpia harpyja (harpy eagle)
Lineage: Eukaryota; Metazoa; Chordata; Aves; Accipitriformes; Accipitridae
Exons: 3
Source: RefSeq, a predicted model, not a curated record
CCGCCCCUUCGCCUUCAGGUGCACCGAGGGCCGGUUACAGGCCUCAAGGCCCCGUGUGUUGGCCACUGGCGGCGGGGGCGGCUCCGCACCUCGCCGGUCCCUGGGCCUGCUCCACCGGGGGCCUUGGGCAGCCGAGGGCCGAGCACACGGGCCUCGUUUCGGCCUUGGCCGCUCCUGCCAGGCUCCCACCUGUCCUGCUCUCCUUGCCCCAGGCGAAGCUCGCAGUAAGCCCCCCAACACCUGCCUUACGUCUGACCCUGUUGGAUAAGGCUGUGGAGAUGUGAUGGCAGCAGGUUAUUUCCCACUGCGGCUCAUUUCCUUCCUGGGGGCAGAGACCGGGCUGGCGCUGCUCUGCCAACGGCUGACGCAGCUGGCACCUCCACCCAACAGCAAGGAAAUCUCCUGUAACCUAAACCUGAACACCCACGCUCGCGCUGCAGGAUCACGUGUUUCGUAUUCUUUGCGCCACAGUGCCACGUGUUAGACUCCGCUAGGAGCUGUACAGACCUAAGUCCUUUAAUAAAACGCGGCCUUUGGCACAUUCGACAUGUGGUCAUCAAAGUGACGUAUCCACAAUGAGGUCUCUUGGAAACUCUCACUGUCUGUGAAUGCUCAAAGAACACCGAGAUCAUGAAAGAUAUUUUUCAUCUUCAGCUACCGAUCUGUUCCUUUUUUUUUUCCUAUGGAUUUUGUGGACUUGAACCACAGGGGUUCUUGAUUUUUCGUAAGAUUCAAAAACUUUGCCAAGAACAAACGUCCUUCUAUCAAGUUCAACCAAAAACAUUAACAGGCCACAGUCACUGGCACAAAUGACUGCAAUCCCUCACUGCGUGUAUCGGCAAUGAAAUGGUCCCACCCAGGUUUUUCCAGAGAGUUGAGUGAAGAAGAAUAAUGGAAAAGAAUAAUUGGCGGAAAAGAUCGCUGCUGUUUCGCCUGCUCCUUACGUGCUGCCACCGAGACCGUGCCAGGCCUGUCCGGGAGCUCCCGUAUUUUUUAAUUUCCAAAACAUCGGCCGUGAAGGUACCAGGCGGUGCCCGGGGAAGGGGGACCCCCGCCGCCCCGCGGGCUCCGGCGGAGCGUGAGUAACGGGGACUCCCCGCCUCACCUCCGCCCCCCCCCCCGCCGCCCCCCAACCCCUCGCCGGCGGCGGGGGCGGGCCGUGAGCUGUCCGCCGGGCAGUGCUGCUCCCGGGGCCGCCCUGGACAGCUCCCGGCCGCGGGGCCGGGCCUGCACCCCCGCCGCCAGCCCGCCGCCACC